Molecule: ribosomal RNA, 1556 nt
Filed under: Escherichia coli
Lineage: Bacteria; Pseudomonadati; Pseudomonadota; Gammaproteobacteria; Enterobacterales; Enterobacteriaceae
Description: bacterial SSU rRNA
Rfam family: Bacterial small subunit ribosomal RNA
Source: RNAcentral
UUAAAUUGAAGAGUUUGAUCAUGGCUCAGAUUGAACGCUGGCGGCAGGCCUAACACAUGCAAGUCGAACGGUAACAGGAAAAAGCUUGCUUUUUUGCUGACGAGUGGCGGACGGGUGAGUAAUGUCUGGGAAACUGCCUGAUGGAGGGGGAUAACUACUGGAAACGGUAGCUAAUACCGCAUAACGUCGCAAGACCAAAGAGGGGGACCUUCGGGCCUCUUGCCAUCGGAUGUGCCCAGAUGGGAUUAGCUAGUAGGUGGGGUAACGGCUCACCUAGGCGACGAUCCCUAGCUGGUCUGAGAGGAUGACCAGCCACACUGGAACUGAGACACGGUCCAGACUCCUACGGGAGGCAGCAGUGGGGAAUAUUGCACAAUGGGCGCAAGCCUGAUGCAGCCAUGCCGCGUGUAUGAAGAAGGCCUUCGGGUUGUAAAGUACUUUCAGCGGGGAGGAAGGGAGUAAAGUUAAUACCUUUGCUCAUUGACGUUACCCGCAGAAGAAGCACCGGCUAACUCCGUGCCAGCAGCCGCGGUAAUACGGAGGGUGCAAGCGUUAAUCGGAAUUACUGGGCGUAAAGCGCACGCAGGCGGUUUGUUAAGUCAGAUGUGAAAUCCCCGGGCUCAACCUGGGAACUGCAUCUGAUACUGGCAAGCUUGAGUCUCGUAGAGGGGGGUAGAAUUCCAGGUGUAGCGGUGAAAUGCGUAGAGAUCUGGAGGAAUACCGGUGGCGAAGGCGGCCCCCUGGACGAAGACUGACGCUCAGGUGCGAAAGCGUGGGGAGCAAACAGGAUUAGAUACCCUGGUAGUCCACGCCGUAAACGAUGUCGACUUGGAGGUUGUGCCCUUGAGGCGUGGCUUCCGGAGCUAACGCGUUAAGUCGACCGCCUGGGGAGUACGGCCGCAAGGUUAAAACUCAAAUGAAUUGACGGGGGCCCGCACAAGCGGUGGAGCAUGUGGUUUAAUUCGAUGCAACGCGAAGAACCUUACCUGGUCUUGACAUCCACGGAAGUUUUCAGAGAUGAGAAUGUGCCUUCGGGAACCGUGAGACAGGUGCUGCAUGGCUGUCGUCAGCUCGUGUUGUGAAAUGUUGGGUUAAGUCCCGCAACGAGCGCAACCCUUAUCCUUUGUUGCCAGCGGUCCGGCCGGGAACUCAAAGGAGACUGCCAGUGAUAAACUGGAGGAAGGUGGGGAUGACGUCAAGUCAUCAUGGCCCUUACGACCAGGGCUACACACGUGCUACAAUGGCGCAUACAAAGAGAAGCGACCUCGCGAGAGCAAGCGGACCUCAUAAAGUGCGUCGUAGUCCGGAUUGGAGUCUGCAACUCGACUCCAUGAAGUCGGAAUCGCUAGUAAUCGUGGAUCAGAAUGCCACGGUGAAUACGUUCCCGGGCCUUGUACACACCGCCCGUCACACCAUGGGAGUGGGUUGCAAAAGAAGUAGGUAGCUUAACCUUCGGGAGGGCGCUUACCACUUUGUGAUUCAUGACUGGGGUGAAGUCGUAACAAGGUAACCGUAGGGGAACCUGCGGUUGGAUCACCUCCUUACCUUAAAGAAGC